GACGAACGCUGGCGGCGUGCCUAACACAUGCAAGUCGAACGGAACGGCCCUGCUUUUUUGCGGUCCUCGAGUGGCGCACGGGUGAGUAACCCUUGAGUAACCUGCCCCUGACUUUGGGAUAUCUUCAGACAAGUGGGGCUCAUACCGCCUAGGAUCUCCUGCCGCUUGGUGGGCGUUGGAUAGUUUCGGCGGUUGGGGGUGUACUAGCGGCUUAUCAGCUUGUUGGGGGGGUAGUGGCUUACCAAGGCUUUGACGGGUAGCCGGCCUGGGAGGGUCAACGGCCACAUUGGGACUGAGAUACGGCCCAGACUCCAACGGGAGGCAGCAGUGGGGAAUAUUGCACAAUGGGCGGAAGCCUGAUGCAGCAACGCAGCGUGCGGGAUGACGGCAUUCGGGUUGUAAACCGCUUUCGCCUGUGACGAAGCGUGAGUGACGGUAAUGGGUAAAGAAGCACCGGCUAACUACGUG
This 468-nucleotide ribosomal RNA is filed under the name uncultured bacterium. RNAcentral describes it as "partial 16S ribosomal RNA". It matches the Rfam family "Bacterial small subunit ribosomal RNA", at positions 28 to 507 of the family's 1533-position model. The record is from RNAcentral.